AUUGAACGCUGGCGGCAUGCCUUACACAUGCAAAUCGAACGGUAACGGGCCUUCGGGUGCCGACGAGUGGCGAACGGGUGAGUAAUACAUCGGAACGUGCCCGAUCGUGGGGGAUAACGAGGCGAAAGCUUUGCUAAUACCGCAUACGAUCUACGGAUGAAAGCAGGGGACCGCAAGGCCUUGCGCGGACGGAGCGGCCGAUGGCAGAUUAGGUAGUUGGUGGGAUAAAAGCUUACCAAGCCGACGAUCUGUAGCUGGUCUGAGACGAUGAUCAGCCACACUGGGACUGAGACACGGCCCAGACUCCUACGGGAGGCAGCAGUGGGGAAUUUUGGACAAUGGGCGCAAGCCUGAUCCAGCCAUGCCGCGUGCAGGAUGAAGGCCUUCGGGUUGUAAACUGAUUUUGUACGGAACGAAAAGCCUUCUUUUAAUACAGGAGGGUCAUGACGGUACCGUAAGAAUAAGCACCGGCUAACUACGUG
Molecule: ribosomal RNA, 482 nt
Filed under: uncultured bacterium
Lineage: Bacteria
Description: partial 16S ribosomal RNA
Rfam family: Bacterial small subunit ribosomal RNA
Source: RNAcentral